RNAcentral lists this unclassified non-coding RNA (329 nucleotides) under soil metagenome. RNAcentral's name for it is "partial contains 5.8S ribosomal RNA, internal transcribed spacer 2, and large subunit ribosomal RNA". The stretch from base 1 to 120 matches the Rfam family "5.8S ribosomal RNA", at positions 35 to 154 of the family's 154-position model. The record is from RNAcentral.
GAUGAAGAACGCAGCGAAAUGCGAUAAGUAAUGUGAAUUGCAGAAUUCAGUGAAUCAUCGAAUCUUAGAACGCACAUUGCGCCCCUUGGUAUUCCGAGGGGCAUGCCUGUUCGAGCGUCAUUAUAACCCCUCAAGCUCAGCUUGGUGUUGGGGCCUGCUGCACUGGCAGCCCUUAAAAUCAGUGGCGGCGCCAUCUGGCUCUAAGCGUAGUAAUUCUUCUCGCUAUGGAGUCCUGGUGGAUGCUUGCCAUCAACCCCCUAUUUUUCUAUGGUUGACCUCGGAUCAGGUAGGGAUACCCGCUGAACUUAAGCAUAUCAAUAAGCGGAGGA